CUAAACUCAACCAGAAAGAUUGGGCAUUGCUGCAUGAUUUUCUAGCGGUUUGCUGACGAGCAGUCUCUUACCAGUCUGAUUCUUGUUGAUGACCCCUAGAAGCUUUGGGUAUUUUUUUAUUAUUGGAAUUCCACAAUAUCAGCAAUAGGCAUCUAGUUGUGUUUCAUGUCUUUUUCUCAUCCCCAUCUGUGUGACAUUCACUUGACUCUUUCAUUCUGAAGACCCUUGCCUUUCUUUGGGUCAGGGCCUUUGAGUAGUUCUUUAUCUUUCCCCUUCCCUUCUCUUUGUAUCAAUUGAAGAUUGUGUGUAAAUGCAACAGAAAAUUUGACUAAACAUUGGUUUUACAAA
This 348-nucleotide small RNA is filed under the name Pongo abelii (Sumatran orangutan). RNAcentral describes it as "processed transcript". Lineage: Eukaryota; Metazoa; Chordata; Mammalia; Primates; Hominidae. The record is from RNAcentral.